CAUCCAGAAGAUUUCAGAAAAUAGAAUGUAUUUGUUGAUGGAAGGACUGUUGAGGAAGGAGCGACUGGAAAAAACUUUUUAGCAAGCCACGAGCUUGGAGGAACACUCUGUCCAUUGCAGCGCAUCAGAAUGGCAAGUUGGAAAAAAGGAACUAAGGAAUGGUUGGCACUUGCUGUUUCUCUUUUAAGGAGUUCUCUACUUGCCAAGUGUACCUGCUUUGGACUUCUCAUGCCUAGGCUCCCCUGGCCAUGACCCAGUAAGAAGCACAGAGGUGAGCAAAAUCAUCUCAGUGGGAUCCAUCUAAAGGUGGGAGUAUGUGAAGUCUGGACACACAAAGACCUGACAGAAAUAAAGCCAAGACCCCCUUCAGUUCUUUUUUAGCCACUUGGAAAUCAUUACUCUGAACAAAGGAACUCCACCAAAAGACUCCUUAACAGUCCAAAGAGAAGAAAGAGGGCAGAAGGUUAUGGUCAGGGUGGACAAGACCAGACCCCAAGUGGAUCUGAAGCCCACCAGCACAGCCAAGGUGUUUCCCAUUGCUCACUGCCUUCUCUGCACUCUGCCUCCAGCACCAGCGGCACAGGGGCCUCCUAAAGAGUCACCAAGUCCAUUUAUACUUUAUGAAUCAACUGGCAUCAGUCCUGAGACCCUUACUAAAAACAGCUGCACCUAAGCAAGGUGUGUUUCCAACACCAGAAAGAGGCUUAAAAAAGUUGACACGAGAAAACAAGGGCUGCACUUCCCAACUCUGAGCCCAGGGUAUCGUGGCCCCUGCCAAUACUGGACCCACCCACACCCCGUUGCUCCAGGCACCAGAGAACAGACCUGUCGGCUCCCACCCGGAUCAGUUCCUUACUGUGCUGGCUUCAGUGUCACUUGGUUCAGAUUCAGACACCUGACCAGGAUAUGCAUCUACUGGCACCAUGGGUAUACGCCUCAUCCCCACUGGGCUCUUGAAGGGACUCACACUGUGAAGCAGCUUCCAAAAAAUGACUUGAAAACCUGGGCAGAGAGUGGCAAGUAUUUUCUAUAGUACAAGUGCUCUUUAAGGUUCUUUUCCUCUCUAUUUACCAUGUGUAUGUACACAUAUGUAUUUUACAUACAGUAGCAAUGCACUUUGUUUUUAAAGAUACAACUUGCAUUUUUCAGGUAUUUUUAAGUCUUUCCAUACGUCAUUCAAAAUCCGUGAAACUUUCAAAGGAUAAAGGAGAAACAGUCAAAGGAGCAGCUGAGAGGCCAAUGUUGCGGUUUUCUUGACUUCAGCUUCUAUUUUCCUGCCACAUGAAAAUGCCAACGCCUCAUUUGGGAGAUCUCACGGAGAGCCAGAGAAUGGUGGACACAGCUCAUCUCCUCAAACAUGACCAGAAUGAUUUAAAUACAGCUCAGAAUGAUACUGUUCUUCAGCGUUCUCAGGAAAUGAAGAGUAUUCAGCAGAAGAAAACAAACUAACUCAUCAUGCAAAUGACAAGGUAAUAAAUUAUAUAUAUAUGUGUUUGCACAAAUCAAUUUACAAACAUCACUUAUCCUGAAAGAGUUUUUAAACAAUGCCCAAGAGCUAAUCACUAGGAACUCCACAAGGUGACAUAAAUCCAUGGAUAUUUCUUUUCAUACUGAGUCUCAGAGAUACCUAGGGCUGCUCAAUCAGUCACUCACUCAAAACUGCAAGGAAUUCUGACAGUUUCUGAUAGUUUCCUGAAUGUCUGCUACU
Molecule: long non-coding RNA, 1708 nt
Organism: Felis catus (domestic cat)
Lineage: Eukaryota; Metazoa; Chordata; Mammalia; Carnivora; Felidae
Exons: 8
Source: RefSeq, a predicted model, not a curated record